UACGUACGAGGCGAGCGUUAUCCGGAAUUACUGGGCGUAAAGCGCGCGCAGGUGGAGCUGUAAGUUGGGCGUGAAAUCUCCCGGCCUAACUGGGAGGGGUCGCCCAAGACUGCAGGUCUUGAGGACAGCAGAGGUUGGUGGAAUUCCUGGUGUAGUGGUGAAAUGCGUAGAGAUCAGGAGGAACACCGGUGGCGAAGGCGGCCAACUGGGCUGUCACUGACGCUGAGGCGCGAAAGCUCGGGGAGCGAACGGG
Molecule: ribosomal RNA, 253 nt
Filed under: uncultured bacterium
Lineage: Bacteria
Description: partial 16S ribosomal RNA
Rfam family: Bacterial small subunit ribosomal RNA
Source: RNAcentral